Molecule: ribosomal RNA, 286 nt
Filed under: Vibrio vulnificus
Lineage: Bacteria; Pseudomonadati; Pseudomonadota; Gammaproteobacteria; Vibrionales; Vibrionaceae
Description: partial 23S ribosomal RNA
Rfam family: Bacterial large subunit ribosomal RNA
Source: RNAcentral
AGGCUAAUCAAGCUCGGAGAUAGCUGGUUCUCCUCGAAAGCUAUUUAGGUAGCGCCUCAUGUAUCACUCUGGGGGGUAGAGCACUGUUUCGGCUAGGGGGUCAUCCCGACUUACCAAACCGAUGCAAACUCCGAAUACCCAGAAGUGCCGAGCAUGGGAGACACACGGCGGGUGCUAACGUCCGUCGUGAAAAGGGAAACAACCCAGACCGCCAGCUAAGGUCCCAAAGUUGUGGUUAAGUGGUAAACGAUGUGGGAAGGCUUAGACAGCUAGGAGGUUGGCUUAG